RNAcentral lists this ribosomal RNA (492 nucleotides) under uncultured bacterium. Its description in RNAcentral is "partial 16S ribosomal RNA". It matches the Rfam family "Bacterial small subunit ribosomal RNA", at positions 29 to 507 of the family's 1533-position model. The record is from RNAcentral.
AGUGAACGCUGGCGGUAGGCCUAACGCAUGCAAGUCGAACGGCAGCACAGUAAGAGCUUGCUCUUACGGGUGGCGAGUGGCGGACGGGUGAGGAAUACAUCGGAAUCUACUUUUUCGUGGGGGAUAACGUAGGGAAACUUACGCUAAUACCGCAUACGACCUACGGGUGAAAGCAGGGGAUCUUCGGACCUUGCGCGAUUGAAUGAGCCGAUGUCGGAUUAGCUAGUUGGCGGGGUAAAGGCCCACCAAGGCGACGAUCCGUAGCUGGUCUGAGAGGAUGAGCGGCCACACUGGAAGUGAGACGCGGUCCAGACUCCGCGGGGAGGACGCAGUGGGAAAUAUUGAACAAGGGGCGCAAGCCUGCACGAGCCAUACCGCGGGGGUAAAGAAGGCCUUCGGGUUGUAAACCCCUUUUGUGGGAAAAGAAAAGCAGCAUGUUAACACCCCGUUGUCCUGACGGUACCCAAAAAAAAAGCACCGGCUAACUUCGUG